RNAcentral lists this long non-coding RNA (541 nucleotides) under Pan troglodytes (chimpanzee). RNAcentral describes it as "lncRNA (ENSPTRG00000053657.1)". The record is from RNAcentral. Lineage: Eukaryota; Metazoa; Chordata; Mammalia; Primates; Hominidae.
CUUACUUUCCAGUUUGAAAAAAAACUACAGCAAAAUUAUGAAAUAAGGUAAUAAACAGAAAUGAACCUUCCACCUUAAAUGAGCACAUUGAAACAUUUGCAUCUAACUUUUCCAUUUAUUUGUGGAAGUGAACCGUGACAGGUAGACGGAAUCCUCCGCAGUCCUCCCCGGAGUUACCGCGAUCCACCACUGAACGCAGGGCCUGCGGAGCCCACACUCCCCUGCUUUCGUCAGGCGCACGCUAGAGGUGGGGCUACGUGUUUGCCCUGCAUACGUAUGAUUCACUUAGUCAUCUGCAUACUCGAACACGGAUAGUAUGUUCUGGACUUGGCUUCUUCUGGAACUCUGUGAAGCACAGAGAACGCAGGAAAGAACCCAAAUGAACGCAGCCCUCCCCGCGCUGGGGAACAUGAGUUUCCUGGGGAACCAUGUAACAGCUCCGAAUCCUGUUCCCAUCAACUGCGAGUGCCCUGGGCCUGUUCGUGCGUGCAUCUGGUUACAGAUGCAGGAAGGACGGGAGGAGCCGGGCAUGGGUCUGGAG